Molecule: non-coding RNA, 135 nt
Organism: Triticum aestivum (bread wheat)
Lineage: Eukaryota; Viridiplantae; Streptophyta; Magnoliopsida; Poales; Poaceae
Source: Rfam
CUUGUACUCCCUCCGUCCGAAAAUACUUGUCAUCAAAAUGGAUAGAAGGGGAUGUAUCUAGAACUAAUAUACUUCUAGAAACAUUCUCUUUUAUUCAUUUUGAUGACAAGUAUUUCCGGACGGAGGGAGUAGUUG